This 60-nucleotide non-coding RNA is filed under the name unclassified sequences. RNAcentral describes it as "cow-rumen-1 RNA". It matches the Rfam family "cow-rumen-1 RNA". From Rfam's summary of the family: cow rumen metagenome. Environment (Cow rumen (57)) The record is from Rfam by way of RNAcentral.
AGAGUGGAAGCUGAAUUAGAGUUUGACAGCUUAAAACCACCGCCCGACACGACGAAGAGG